UUUAAGCAUAUCACUCAGUGGAGGAACAGCAAGCAACUGCGAUUGCUUCAGUAACGGCGAUUGAACAGGCAAGGACAGGGCUCUGCCCAGACGUGAGUUCCCCUCUCUGGCCCGAACCCUCACGCGUGAGCGGUGACGGUCAUGAUCGGCUAUCAUGGAAUCUCUGCAAAUGCUGUGGGCUGUGGAGCGGCCGGCUGUGCUGUCGACGACUGUGGCAUCUGGAAUAGUCCCUGGAACGGGCAGUCAAAGCGGGCGAGAACCCCGUACGGUGAAGUGCCAUGGUCGUGCGGAUGGUGUGGCUGGUCGCAUCCAGGAGUAGAGCUGUUUGGGACUGCAGUUUGAAGCGGGAUGUGUAUCCAUCCCAAGGCAGAAUACAGACCAGAGACCGAUAGCGCACAAGUAGAGUGAUCGAAGGAUGCAAAGAACUCAGCGACGAGGGUUAAAAGUUCCUGAAGCCUCGGCAGGAAUGGCGGUGGAUGAUGCUGUGGGUUUCGCUUCGUCCUUGUGGCAGCAGCCGCUGACCACUCGGGCAUCCAAACAAGCUCCAGGCAGCCUCGGGCCAGCCUCCCGGACCGGCCACUGAGCCUUCGUACGUUCACCCUCACGGGAGAGCGGUCGCGGAGAUGUAAUCGUGGUAUCCGGAGAGUGUCAGCAAGCCUGCCCGGGCCCGAGGUUUGUCAUGACCGGUGGUGCAAAAAAAAUCUUGAUCAGACACUGAAUGAACGUUGCAGUAGCGAGUACGACACUGGCCCGCAAGGGCCAGUCAUCGGGCCCCGUUCACCCAGCCGGAUUCUCGGGAGACAAAGGCGUCAUUGAAGUGGCUGCACCGUGUUCCACGGUGGUCACUGUGAGCGUCGCUCCUCCGGUCGGGGCCUGGUGCAGAAGGCAGAUUCGAUGCCUGGCCACACACACCCUUCACGGGCUGUGUGCCAGUGCCAUCCACUGCCCGUCUUGAAACACGGACCAAGGAGUCUAUGGAGCUUGCGAAUGGUUGUCUGGCCCGCCAAAGCCAAAUCAGAGGGCAAGGUGAAAGCAACAGACCAUCCCGGACGUGCCCGCGUCAUCAACGGCACCGCAAGGGAUCACCGGACCUGCAGUCCGGCGGACGGGGUUUUGAGUGCAUGCAAGGUCCGUGGGACCCGAAAGGUGGUGAACUAUGCCAUUCCACACCGAAGCCAUGGGAAACUGUGGUGGAAGGUGGUAGCUGUUCUGACGUGCAAAUCGUGUAGCCCGAGAGUGGCAUGGGGGUGAAAGGCCAAUCGAACCACCUAGUAGCUGGUUCCCUCCGAAGUUUCCUUCAGGAUAGCA
This 1308-nucleotide ribosomal RNA is filed under the name Euglena geniculata. Its description in RNAcentral is "partial large subunit ribosomal RNA". It matches the Rfam family "Eukaryotic large subunit ribosomal RNA", at positions 33 to 983 of the family's 3401-position model. Lineage: Eukaryota; Euglenozoa; Euglenophyceae; Euglenales; Euglenaceae. The record is from RNAcentral.